CUCCCUUUGGUCUUCCCAUGCCACAUGCACGUGCUCGAGCAGCCCGUGCGUCAACUACUCUACUAUCCAAUCCAUGGUCCCCGGCCGGCUAUAGCUUCGAUUUCUCUCCAUGCAUGCACUUGCCGCGUGAAUCACCGUCACCAGUUCACCACGACCCCAGACUUGUUGUCUUGUGCGCCAGUGGACACGAACGCCGCGUACGGCCGGACGGCGACUCGUCGUCGUCGUCUUCUCGUCCAGUUAGCCCACGUCCACCUAUCCUUUCUUCUCUUCUCUCCAGUGUACUCUCCACGCACGGCACCUCGCCUCCCCUCAUCCUCUCUCUUCCUCCCCUCCCCUCCCAGCUUCGUGGCACCGUUCAGGGCUAUGGCCACCACCGCCGCCGCACUGCCCUCGGGCUACUUCGGCUCCGUCCAGGGCCGGCCCACGCGCCUCGCUCCGGCAGCCAGCGGACGUAACUGUCUGCUCCUCCGCUGCUCCGCGUCGGGUGGUGAUGGCUCUGGCGGCCCCGACCCGGUCCUCGAGGAGCAAAAGCGGCGUCGGGCCGAGCUCUCCGCUCGCGCUUCCUCUGGAGAGUUCACCGCCCCAGGCACCGGGUCAGUGCUCCCCGGCGAAUUCCUCGUCGUCUCUGGCAUUUCUUUCACGUGUAGCUCCGGUGGUGAUCGGAUGGCUGGCCAAGCUGGGCCCGCCGGGGGCGCUCGCGGUUGGGCUCCUCAAGGUAGCGGGCGUCGGCGCGGCGCGCAGGGGCCCGGAGCUGCCGCAGGUGGCAGGGUCGCUGGCUGCCGGGGACGCCAUCUUCCUGCCGCUCUACGACCACUUCCUCAAACACGGCGGCGUCUUUCGCCUCAACCUCGGGCCCAAGUCUUUUGUCAUCGUCUCUGAUCCAGAUAUAGCUAAGCAUAUCCCCAGGGACAACUCCAAGGCUUAUUCCAAGGGUAUUCUUGCGGAAAUACUGGAGUUUGUAAUGGGUACGGGUCUGAUCCCAGCUGACGGGGAGGUUUGGCGUGUUCGACGGCGUGCCAUUGUACCAUCAUUGCAUCAGAAGGUUUUGUGUGACCAAUUUCGAACUAAAACCAGGACAAUUAUUUUGGAAUGAAGAGAGUAGCUUCCUACUCGCUAUUAAGGUUUUGUGUUUACUGCUUUCUUUCUAUAGGAAUUUUGUUCACUUUUGAAUUCUGUUGAGCAGUUUGUGACGGAGAUGAUAGGUCUCUUUGGGAAAGCUUCAGACCGGCUGUGUCAGAAGUUGGACAAGGCGGCAUUGGAUGGGGCGGAUGUGGAGAUGGAAUCUUUGUUCUCUCGACUUACAUUGGAUGUCAUUGGGAAGGCAGUAUUCAAUUAUGAUUUUGAUUCAUUAUCUUAUGAUAAUGGAAUGGUUGAGGCUGCGUAUGUAACACUACGAGAAGCGGAAAUGCGGAGCACUGCUCCUAUACCAACUUGGAAAAUACCAAUAUGGAAAGACAUCUCCCCUCGGCAGAGGAAGGUUAAUGAAGCUCUUGUGCUAAUAAAUAAUGUUCUUGAUGAACUAAUUUCUACAUGCAAGAGAAUGGUAGAUGAAGAAGAUCUGCAGUUUCAUGAGGAAUAUAUGAAUGAGCAAGAUCCUAGCAUUCUCCGCUUUCUAUUGGCAUCCGGAGAAGAUGUCUCCAGCAAGCAGCUUCGUGAUGAUCUGAUGACAAUGCUCAUAGCUGGCCAUGAGACCUCUGCAGCAGUCCUAACAUGGACAUUUUACCUUCUAUCUAAGUGCCCAAAAGUAAUGUCCAAGCUCCAGGCUGAGGUUGAUGAUGUUCUAGGAGAUGGUUUACCAACAAUUGAGGAUGUGAAGAAACUAAAGUAUACUACUCGAGUUAUUAACGAAUCUUUGAGACUAUAUCCACAACCGCCAGUUUUAAUUCGUCGGUCCCUUGAGGAUGAUAUGCUAGGGGAGUACCCAAUCGGCAGGGGUGAAGACAUUUUUAUAUCCAUCUGGAAUCUUCAUCGCUGCCCAAAGCACUGGGAUGAUGCAGAUGUUUUUAGUCCGGAAAGGUGGCCUUUGGACGGUCCAAAUCCAAAUGAGACAAACCAAAAAUUCAGUUACUUGCCAUUUGGUGGCGGACCAAGGAAAUGUGUAGGUGAUAUGUUUGCUACUUUUGAGAAUGUGGUGGCAACCGCAAUGCUUGUCAAGCGGUUUGAUUUUCAGAUGGCUCCAGGACCACCUCUGGUCGAGAUGACAACCGGAGCAACGAUUCACACAACUAAAGGGUUGAACAUGACUGUUAGUCGGAGGACAAAGCCACCCGUAAUUCCAAUUUAGAGAUGAAAGUUGUUUCCGAUUCACAAGGAAGUGCAUGUUCUACUAUAUCAGUGGCUGUUUCCACUGCUGGUAUUGCUUCUAGAGAAGACCAACACCUGGAGGUGCCGAUAAGUCAAGUGUGAUACAUAACGAUGCGAGAAGGCAGGCUGUCUUGAUGAGGUGCCACCAGGCUGAUCUAUUGCUACUACUUGUUCUCUCAUUUGCCAAGAAUUUUAUUCCAUGGGAAAUUCACACACACACACCAGACCAUGUUUUAUCAACAUGCAUUCAGUGUUUCACAUUUUUAAUGGAAAUGAAAUGUGGCUACUGGAUGAAAGAGAGCUGAAAUUUUAACAAGUUUGUAUUCGGUGAUUAUGUAUUUCCAAAACGAAAUCGAUGCCUGAGGAUAGUUCAGAAAGCAAAUUUAUUAUUGUGAUUUAUAUGUUACUCACAUAUCUAGUAUAAGCUUGAAAGCGGUUUGUGGAACUUAUUAGGAAAACCAUUCCCCAAUCCCAAUCAGAGCUGGCUGUAGCUUAGCUUUCAUGACAAUGGUAUGUGUUCUCGUAGCAACAUAGAGAGAGCUUGGCUGUUCGAUGUUAUUUACCAGUUAUCCCAUGGCUAGAAAAAUUCUGAACCAUUUUUGUCCUCUAUGCUAGGUGUGUUGGUCAUCUGUCUUGUAGAUGACAAGAUAAUGAUCUCUCUAUUUUGAAUUACUUUCCUCAUAGUUCUUGUCUGGCUAAAUCAGCAUUCAACAUGUCCAGUCUACAAAGGUACACCGUGCGUGGUGCAAGUUAUAUCAGUGGUAGUAAUUAAUCCAUCCAUGCUCGCCCGAAGAAUCAAGGCCAGACCCUUCUGUGUCGGUGCCUGUCUGCUCGAUGCAUUCACGGAGAAAUUUGUUGAGAUCAAUGAGACCAACUAGUCGAACCAGUUUGAAUUCUUGUAGCGUGUCGUCUAUGGAUGGAGGAAAUGACCUGAAUUUCGCCAUAUAUACCCUUGUGAACGACAAAUAGAACUCGACGCAUGCUUGAUCUAAAUCGUACUCAUACUCAUAUGCCAAUACUAGCUACAGCCCAAGACCAUUUUGUAUGGUGGUUAGGUCUGUCAGCCCAAGAACUUUUGCCUGCUAUAAGGCAUGAAAACAAAAAAACGUGUAAUUGGAUUUGGGUAGUUUGGCACAGGACCGGAGUCGUGCCAAGGCGACCGGACGUGAUUCCGUCGUGCUAGAGGCGUGCCUAGCAGGCUCGUCUAUCGGGGGAGCUAUGUAUCGCCUAAUGUGAGAUGAUAGCUCAUUUUGCCACUGGCGCGAACGCUAGUAAACCGGUCCUGUAGCUUCUACGGAGUGGUUUUGACAAUCUUCUAUGGACCGGUACAGACCGAUUUAAGGAGCUUUUUCGUGAUUUUUGUGUGUGUUUUCUUUAAUGGUACCUUUAUUUAUUUUUCUUUUGGGUUUUCCUAAAAAAAUGUUUUUCAAAUACAUGCAAACUUUUUCCAAAUACACGUUGAAUAUUCUUUCGUAUACAGGUUGAAAUUUUGAUUGAUACAUGUUAAACAUCUUUCAAAUACACAUUGAAUAUUUUUAAAAGUACACAUUAAAUAUAUAUUUUUAAAUACAUUGUGAAAAUUCUUUUGAUGUACAUGGUUUUUCAUAAAUGCUAGGAAAUACCCUUUUAAAUGUGCAAAUAUUUGUCAAGUGUUACAGUAAUGAAUGUUUUUAAUGGUAUGGACCUUUUCUUAAAUUGUAUAAUCAUUGUUAUAAAUUUCAAAAAUAUUUUUUGAAGGACGUGAACAUUUUUUAACAUUGCAUGAACAUUGUUUGAAAGUUUACGCACAUUUUUUCGGAACCCACGAGAACGAAAUUUGUAGCACCACCCAUGCAUUUUUAUAGUAUGCAGUGAUCCGUUUUUGGAAAUUAAAAAAAAAUAAGUUUCUUACAUAUCUAUAUUUAGAUAAUUUUGGAAAUUUAAAUAUAAGCUUUUUUCGAAUCUGGAAAUUCGAAUAUAAGUAAAAAAGACGAAACAAAACCUCGCACUGAGAAAGAGAAAACAAAAAGGCAAUGGGCCGGACCACUAAAGGCCAUUGUUGAGGUGAGGGAUUCCUUUGUCUCAUGGGACCUCCUUCUUCGAGAUUCGUAUUAGCCGCGUGUUGCGGCAAAUUGACCCAUCUGCGCACAUGGAAGCGCACAAGCGAAGCAUGCGAGUCGGCCCAGUUAACGUGUUGCCUCUUUCCGGUUUUGGGAACCUUCUAGUUCGUGACCUAUUUUGGGAACCUUCUAGAAGGUCCUUGAAACCGAUUUGUUUUUGUUUUUCCAUUUUUUUCCUUUUCUUUUUGUUUUUUAUAUUUCUUUUUUCCACCUGACACCUAUUUAAGCGGCUCUUCUCACCGCUAGCUUAUCCUAUUUUGAUACUUCUGUCAUUUCAUCCUCGUAUGGGUGCAGAACCCGUCGAUGUAUCGGCUGUGAUACCGGAGGCUCUAGAGAAGUCGGAGGAGAGAUCACUGAUUGGCAAAGAUAAACAGAGUACGUUACAAUAAAUUAAUCGGUCACUUGAAUAUUCAAGAGCAGUGAUGUAAUCGUUUACCUUUUUACUUACUUAUUUAGUAGUCUUAGAUUUUUCAUUUUGAUGAGCCUCGCUUUGUGGAAUUUAUGAAAUAAUCUAUUUUUACGGAAUAAUGAAUUAAGGAAGAAAGGAUAUGAAUCUACCGUUUACGAGAAAAGAUUUCAUGAUACUCAAUAUUGGCCCCGAACACACAUCAAUGCAUGGUGUUCUUCAACUGUACGUUACUCUCGA
This 5052-nucleotide ribosomal RNA is filed under the name Triticum aestivum (bread wheat). RNAcentral's name for it is "partial small subunit ribosomal RNA". The record is from RNAcentral. Lineage: Eukaryota; Viridiplantae; Streptophyta; Magnoliopsida; Poales; Poaceae.